CAAGUCGAGGGGUAGCAGGAAUUGCUUGCAAUUCGCUGACGACCGGCGCACGGGUGCGUAACGCGUAUGCAACCUACCUUCAACAGGGGGAUAGCCAGGGGAAACCCUGAUUAAUACCCCAUAAUAAUUCAAUUUCGCAUGUUAUUGAAUUUAAAACUCCGGUGGUUGAAGAUGGGCAUGCGUCCUAUUAGUUUGUUGGUGAGGUAACGGCUCACCAAGACUACGAUAGGUAGGGGGCCUGAGAGGGUGAUCCCCCACACUGGUACUGAGACACGGACCAGACUCC
Molecule: ribosomal RNA, 286 nt
Filed under: unidentified marine bacterioplankton
Lineage: Bacteria
Also listed under: 1 other name
Description: partial 16S ribosomal RNA
Rfam family: Bacterial small subunit ribosomal RNA
Source: RNAcentral